This is a small nuclear RNA of 118 nucleotides. Its record names the gene U5. It matches the Rfam family "U5 spliceosomal RNA". From Rfam's summary of the family: U5 RNA is a component of both types of known spliceosome. The precise function of this molecule is unknown, though it is known that the 5' loop is required for splice site selection and p220 binding, and that both the 3' stem-loop and the Sm site are important for Sm protein binding and cap methylation. The record is from Ensembl.
CAACUCUGGUUUCUCUUCAAUCACGCACAAGUUUUUCGCCUUUUACUAAAGACUUCCGUGGAAAGCAACGCUUACGAGUUCAACGUAUUUUUGGACGGGCUCUGCUCCCGGCAGAGCC